This 938-nucleotide long non-coding RNA is filed under the name Microcebus murinus (gray mouse lemur). RNAcentral describes it as "lncRNA (ENSMICG00000048678.1)". Lineage: Eukaryota; Metazoa; Chordata; Mammalia; Primates; Cheirogaleidae. The record is from RNAcentral.
CCUCUGCCAGGGUGGCUGGACAGAGGAGGUGGGUGCCAACCAGCCAAAUCCGCCACCUGCCCUUUUACCAGCGCCCUGCCCCCCACAACCUCUCCAAGGAAAGGAACUCGGGGGGAAACACAGAACCUGGCCUGUGUCGUAGAAGUCCUGGUUCUUUUUAUCAGGUCACCGAAUAUUCACGAAGGUAGAAAAGAAAGGACAACCAUGAGAGGAAUUUAUCCAAUAUGGAGGCCAUUGUGAGCAAAAAGACAGCUUCAAGGACCUGCACGGCGGUGCUGUGGAUAAGUGAGCAUGCUUGCGCACGCUCAGAUGCUCACUAACAGAGGCAGGAGUGCUGAACACGUCCCGCAGCAUCCAGUCAGCGGGACGCUGUGCAAUGUCUUCAGACGAAUGACAAAAGCGUGCAGCAGCAAUCCAGGAAGUGCCAGUAGGGGAUGAAGGAACACGGGGAGCAGCUGCGCGCGAAGCCGCCACUCAGCGGCAGAGGCCUCGGGACCACGCGAGUAGAGCCGGACGCUGCAGAAUCCCUUCUCCAGCCCCAACCGCACGCCUCUUGUGCUCUGCACCCCCUUUCCUCCUGAGAGCCUCCCAAGACGUGGAGAGAGGAGAAGGGAACAGACAGAGCAGCAGGACGGAGGCAGCAAGACUCCGAAUGUACCCGGGUGGGAACCGCCGUCCCGCGCACGUGGCCUGAAGCCGAUUUCUGCAGCCAGCGGAAGAGCCCCUCUGAGGACACUCCCCAAACCCUGUCUCCUCACCUGCCGUGCAGCCACUUGUUUAAGAGAAGACUUGUUUAAGCCACUUGUUGAAGUGAAAUAUUCACUUAAGUGGAUAUUUGUGGGGUGCCCACCAAGUGCUGGGCACUGCUCUGAGCAUCAUCCUGGAUGGAAGCAGGGGCGGGAGGGCCCAGGCCUCCUCCAAAGAACAGGAUGCCCCGG